AUGCAGGUGUUUUGUUGGUGCAAGUUGUUGGCUCAUGUUGAGUUUCAAGCAGUCUGUCUGUAUGUGCAAACCUCUUGCGGCCAGUGGAAUGGGCUGGGAUACUUGACAACAACAAGGUGCGGGCUGAGAAGAAGAAGGGCCGCGGAGCCACCAGAUAGGCCCAGGCCCGUUAGAGCCCAUGGAGUGGGCGCUCUGAAAACCCUAAACCCUCCCCCUUUUUAUCUCCCCCCACCCAGCCGCCGUUUCCCAUCCUCCUCCUUCGCUCUUCUUCUUCUCCUCCUCCUCGUCAAUCAAGUAAAGAAAGCAGCAAGUAGAAAUCCAUGGCGGCGGCCAAGAACCCCAAGGUCUUCUUCGACAUCCUCAUCGGCCAGGCCAAGGCGGGGCGGGUGGUCAUGGAGCUCUACGCCGACAAGGUGCCCAGGACGGCGGCCAACUUCCGGCAGCUCUGCACGGGCGAGAAGGGCCUGGGCGCCAGCGGCAAGCCGCUCCACUACAAGGGCUCGGCCUUCCACCGCAUCAUCCCGGGCUUCAUGUGCCAGGGCGGCGACUUCACCCGCGGCAACGGCACCGGCGGCGAGUCGGUCUACGGCGCCAAGUUCGCCGACGAGAACUUCCUCCUCCGCCACACGGGCCCCGGCGUGCUCUCCAUGGCCAACGCAGGGCCCGGCACCAACGGCUCCCAGUUCUUCAUCUGCACCGCCAAGACGCCCUGGCUCGACGGCAAGCACGUCGUGUUCGGGCAGGUCGUGGACGGGUACGGCGUCGUGGAGAAGAUGGAGGCCGUCGGGUCGUCCGGCGGCUCCACCGCCCAGCCCGUCGUCAUCGAGGACUGCGGCCAGCUCCCCGACGACCACUGCUGAUCUCAUGAUUCAUUCAGCCUUGUUUUUUUUUUUACUUGCUACGUACUACUGA
This 912-nucleotide ribosomal RNA is filed under the name Triticum aestivum (bread wheat). Its description in RNAcentral is "partial small subunit ribosomal RNA". Lineage: Eukaryota; Viridiplantae; Streptophyta; Magnoliopsida; Poales; Poaceae. The record is from RNAcentral.